CCUCUUGUUUAGUGGGAGGUCUCUGCUAAUCCUGACUGAAGAAGGGUGUGAAUGGUUUUGCUCUGUGCUCUUUGUUUUCCCGGUCAAGAAAAGUCUGGAGGCCGCAGAGUGAAGCUAAGGAUAACUUGGCUAGGACUAGAAAGCUGGAGCUGCGCUAGUGUCCUCAGCAAGUCAACACUGCUCUCUGCCGAGCAUCUUCACGAGAUAUGUCUGCAAUCCUUCUGGGAUGUUUAUUAUUACUUGGAAACUUGAAGAAGAGUUCCUCAUGGGUACUGGAGCUUGCAAGUAUAGUCCUGCCUACUCCAUCUGGAGGCCUAGUUAAAGACCUGUUACAUCCAUGAGUUCAACAUCAGCCUGGGCAAUAAAGAAACACCUAUUGCAAAAGAAAAGGAGGGAAGGAAGGAUGGAAGGAAGGGAAAGAAGGAGGGAAGAAAAGAGGGAGGGAAGGAAG
Alexandromys fortis (reed vole) is the source of this 451-nucleotide long non-coding RNA. RefSeq lists it as uncharacterized. The record is from RefSeq and is a predicted model, not a curated record. Lineage: Eukaryota; Metazoa; Chordata; Mammalia; Rodentia; Cricetidae. The transcript has 3 exons.